Non-coding RNA from Macaca mulatta (Rhesus monkey), 996 nucleotides. Lineage: Eukaryota; Metazoa; Chordata; Mammalia; Primates; Cercopithecidae. The record is from RefSeq and is a predicted model, not a curated record.
AUGGCUGGGAUCACCACCAUUGAGGCAGUUAAGGGCAAUAUCCAGGUUCCGCAGCAGCAGGCAGAUGAUGCAGAGGGCCUCCAGUGAGAAGUUGAGGGGGAAAGGUGGGCCCGGGAACAGGCUGAGGUUGAGGUGGCUUCCUUGAACUGCAGGAUCCAGCUGGUUGAUGAGAAGCUGGACCAUGCUCAGGAGCACCUGGCCACUGCCCUGCAAAAGCUGGAAGAAGCGGAAAAAGCUGCUGCUAAGAGUGAGAGAGGUAUGAAAGUUAUUGAAAACCGGCCUUAAAAAAUGAAGAAAAGAUGGAACUCCAGGAAAUCCAACUCAAAGAAGCUAAGCACAUUGCAAAAGAGGCAGAUAGGAAGUAUAAAAAGGUGGCUCAUAAGUUGGUGAUCAUUGAAAGAGACUUGAAACACACAGAGGAACAAGCUGAGCUGGCAGAGUCCCGCUGCCGAGAGAUAGAUGAGCAUAUCAGACGGAGGGACCAGAACCUGAAGUGUCUGAGUGCUGCUGAAGAAAAGUACUCUCAAAAAGAAGACAAAUAUGAGAAAGAGAUCAAGAUUCUUACUGAUAAACUCAAGGAGGCAGAGACCUGUGCUGGGUUUGCUGAGAGAUCGGUAGCCAAGCUGGAAAAGACAAUUGAUGACUUGGAAGAUAAACUGAAAUGCACCAAAGAAGAGCACCUCUGUACACAAAGGAUGCUGGACCAGACUCUGCUUGACCUGAAUAACACGUAGAAUGCCCCAGUCCCACCCUGCUGCUGCUCCUCCCUCUGACCCUGACUCUUCCUGAGGCCAGCCUGCCUGAAGCUGACCUUUAACUGAGGGCUGAUCUUUAACUGGAAGGCUGCUUUCCCCUUUUGCCUCCUGCUCCUCCCCUGUGUCUUUUUUGCCAAACUGUCUCUACCAAUUCCCGGAGAUUCCAGCUGGACUAGAGGCUGAGCACCUUUGGAAACAACAUUUAAGGGAAUGUGAGCACAAUGCAUAAUGUCUUUAAAAG